Molecule: transfer RNA, 72 nt
Filed under: Cordylochernes scorpioides
Lineage: Eukaryota; Metazoa; Arthropoda; Arachnida; Pseudoscorpiones; Chernetidae
Description: tRNA-Trp
Source: RNAcentral
UGAGCCGGAAGUGAUUCGAACACGCAGCCUUCUGAUCUGGAGUCAGACGCGCUACCGUUGCGUCACCAGCCC